RNAcentral lists this ribosomal RNA (724 nucleotides) under Halobacillus kuroshimensis. RNAcentral's name for it is "bacterial SSU rRNA". It matches the Rfam family "Bacterial small subunit ribosomal RNA", at positions 56 to 748 of the family's 1533-position model. Lineage: Bacteria; Bacillati; Bacillota; Bacilli; Caryophanales; Bacillaceae. The record is from RNAcentral.
UGCAGUCGAGCGCGGGAAGCGAGCGGAUCCCUUCGGGGUGAAGCUCGUGGAACGAGCGGCGGACGGGUGAGUAACACGUGGGCAACCUGCCUGUAAGAUCGGAAUAACCCCGGGAAACCGGGGCUAAUGCCGGGUAAUACUUUUCUUCGCAUGAAGAUGAGUUGAAAGAUGGCUUCUCGCUAUCACUUACAGAUGGGCCCGCGGCGCAUUAGCUAGUUGGUGAGGUAACGGCUCACCAAGGCAACGAUGCGUAGCCGACCUGAGAGGGUGAUCGGCCACACUGGGACUGAGACACGGCCCAGACUCCUACGGGAGGCAGCAGUAGGGAAUCUUCCGCAAUGGACGAAAGUCUGACGGAGCAACGCCGCGUGAACGAUGAAGGUCUUCGGAUCGUAAAGUUCUGUUGUCAGGGAAGAACAAGUACCGUGCGAAUAGAGCGGUACCUUGACGGUACCUGACGAGGAAGCCCCGGCUAACUACGUGCCAGCAGCCGCGGUAAUACGUAGGGGGCAAGCGUUGUCCGGAAUUAUUGGGCGUAAAGCGCGCGCAGGCGGUUCCUUAAGUCUGAUGUGAAAGCCCACGGCUCAACCGUGGAGGGUCAUUGGAAACUGGGGAACUUGAGGACAGAAGAGGAGAGUGGAAUUCCACGUGUAGCGGUGAAAUGCGUAGAUAUGUGGAGGAACACCAGUGGCGAAGGCGACUCUCUGGUCUGUUUCUGACGCUG